RNAcentral lists this ribosomal RNA (253 nucleotides) under uncultured bacterium. Its description in RNAcentral is "partial 16S ribosomal RNA". It matches the Rfam family "Bacterial small subunit ribosomal RNA", at positions 524 to 776 of the family's 1533-position model. The record is from RNAcentral.
GACAGAGGGUGCAAACGUUGUUCGGAAUUACUGGGCGUAAAGCGCGUGUAGGCGGCUCGGAAAGUCGGGUGUGAAAGCCCUGGGCUCAACCCAGGAAGUGCACUCGAAACUUCCAAGCUUGAGUUUUGGAGAGGAAGGCGGAAUUCUCGGUGUAGAGGUGAAAUUCGUAGAUAUCGAGAGGAACACCGGUGGCGAAGGCGGCCUUCUGGACAGUGACUGACGCUGAGACGCGAAAGCGUGGGGAGCAAACAGG